This 301-nucleotide ribosomal RNA is filed under the name uncultured bacterium. Its description in RNAcentral is "partial 16S ribosomal RNA". It matches the Rfam family "Bacterial small subunit ribosomal RNA", at positions 509 to 807 of the family's 1533-position model. The record is from RNAcentral.
CAGCCGCCACGGUAAUACGUAGGUGACAAGCGUUGUCCGGAAUUAUUGGGCGUAAAGGGAGCGCAGGCGGUUGGAAUAGUCUGAUGUGAAAGCCCACGGCUUAACCGUGGAAUUGCAUUGGAAACUGUCCAACUUGAAUGCAGAAGAGGAAAGCGGAAUUCCAUGUGUAGCGGUAAAAUGCGUAGAUAUUGGGAGGAACACCAGUGGCGAAGGCGGCUUUCUGGACUGCAACUGACGCUGAGGCUCGAAAGCCAGGGGAGCGAACGGGAUUAGAGACCCGCGUAGUCCCUGUCUCUUAUAC